RNAcentral lists this ribosomal RNA (1683 nucleotides) under Apeltes quadracus (fourspine stickleback). RNAcentral's name for it is "16S rRNA". It matches the Rfam family "Bacterial large subunit ribosomal RNA". The record is from RNAcentral. Lineage: Eukaryota; Metazoa; Chordata; Actinopteri; Perciformes; Gasterosteidae.
UGCUCAACAGCUAGCCCACCCCAAAACUUCAACAAGUCAAUCUAAAUACCCCCAAAGCACACUAAUUUUAAGUAAACAAACCAUUUUUCCCCCUUAGUAUAGGCGAUAGAAAAGGAUAUUAGGCGCAAUAGAGAAAGUACCGCAAGGGAAUGCUGAAAGAGAAAUGAAAUAACCCAGAGAAGCUAAGAAAAGCAGAGAUUUAACCUCGUACCUUUUGCAUCAUGAUUUAGCAAGUGUAACUUAAGCAAAGAGAACUAUAGUUUAAUACCCCGAAACUAUGUGAGCUACUCCAAGACAGCCUAUUAUAGGGCAUACCCGUCUCUGUUGCAAAAGAGUGGGGAGAGCUUUGAGUAGAGGUGACAGACCUACCGAACCUAGUUAUAGCUGGUUGCCCAAGAAAUGAAUAGAAGUUCAGCUUCCUGGCUUCUCUUUUCACAUUAGCUUUACACCUACUGAUGUAUUUAAGAAACCAAGAAAGUUAGUCGAAGGGGGUACAGCCCCUUUGAAUCAAGACACAACUUUAACAGGAGGGUAAAGAUCAUAAUAAACCAAAGGAGAGUACUCUGGUGGGCUUGAAAGCAGCCAUCCUAAGAGAAAGCGUCAAAGCUCAAGUACUCCACUUACCCCCUUAUCCUGAUCAUUUAAUCUUAUCCCCCUAUCCAUACUGGGCCGUCCCAUGCCAACAUGGGAGUGAUUAUGCUAAUAUGAGUAAUAAGGGAGCAACGCCUCCCUCCCUGCACACGUGUACAUCGGAACGGACAACCCGCCGACUCUUAACGACCCCAACCAAAGAGGGGCAUGGAUAACAUACUAAACAACUAGAAGACCAUCCAAACUCUAUCGUUAACCCUACACAGGUGUGCCCCCGGGAAAGACUAAAAGAAAAAGAAGGAACUCGGCAAACACACAAAGCCUCGCCUGUUUACCAAAAACAUCGCCUCUUGUAAUUAAGAAAUAAGAGGUCCCGCCUGCCCUGUGACUAUAAGUUUAACGGCCGCGGUAUUUUAACCGUGCGAAGGUAGCGCAAUCACUUGUCUUUUAAAUGAAGACCUGUAUGAAUGGCAUAACGAGGGCUUAGCUGUCUCCUUUUUCCAGUCAAUGAAAUUGAUCUCCCCGUGCAGAAGCGGGGAUAAAAACAUAAGACGAGAAGACCCUAUGGAGCUUUAGACACUAAAGUGGAUCACGUCCAUAAGCCAUAAACAAAGGCAUGAACCAAAUGAAGCCCACCUUGAUGUCUUUGGUUGGGGCGACCGCGGGGAACUAAUUAACCCCCAUGUGGAAUGGGAAAACUCCUCCCACAGCUGAGAGUAACAACUCCAAUAAACAGAACUUCUGACCAAAAAGAUCCGGCAAUGCCGAUCAACGGACCUAGUUACCCUAGGGAUAACAGCGCAAUCCUCUUUUAGAGCCCAUAUCGACAAGGGGGUUUACGACCUCGAUGUUGGAUCAGGACAUCCUAAUGGUGCAGCCGCUAUUAAGGGUUCGUUUGUUCAACGAUUAAAGUCCUACGUGAUCUGAGUUCAGACCGGAGUAAUCCAGGUCAGUUUCUAUCUAUGCAGUGCUCUUCUCUAGUACGAAAGGACCGAGAAGAGGGGGCCAAUGCCAAAGCAUGCCUCCCCCUUACCUAAUGAAUUUAACUAAAAUAGGCAAAAGGGCAUAUCCCUGUGCCGAAGAUUACGGCAU